GAGAUAUAUACUGUCUCAUAUAUAUUUGAUGAAUUUAAAUUUUUAGUAAAAAUGCUUAAAUAAUUUUAUGGGACGAUAAGACCCUGUAGAAUUUUAUAUUAAUAUUUUAUUAAUUAUUUAAUUAAAAUAUUAAUAUUUAAUUGGGAGGAUUAAUAAAUUUAAAAAACUUUAUUUUAAAAAUAAACUUUGAUUUUAGAAUUAAUUUUUGAUCUUUUAUUAUAAAUCAAAAGAAUAAAUUACCUUAGGGAUAACAGCGUAAUAUCUUUUUAAAGAUCAUAUUUAAAAAGAUGUUUGCGACCUCGAUGUUGAAUUAAGAUAAAUUUUAAACGGAGAAGUUUAAUAAUUAAGUCUGUUCGACUUUUAAAAUCUUACAUGA
This 376-nucleotide ribosomal RNA is filed under the name Bombus pauloensis. RNAcentral's name for it is "partial 16S ribosomal RNA". The stretch from base 247 to 376 matches the Rfam family "Archaeal large subunit ribosomal RNA", at positions 2542 to 2672 of the family's 2987-position model. The record is from RNAcentral. Lineage: Eukaryota; Metazoa; Arthropoda; Insecta; Hymenoptera; Apidae.